Gorilla gorilla gorilla (western lowland gorilla) is the source of this 2447-nucleotide long non-coding RNA. RefSeq lists it as uncharacterized. The record is from RefSeq and is a predicted model, not a curated record. The transcript is spliced from 3 exons. Lineage: Eukaryota; Metazoa; Chordata; Mammalia; Primates; Hominidae.
CACCAAAACAUCAGAUCUUCCUGGGUCUUGAGACAGCUAGUUUUCAGACUGCAACUACACCAUCAUCUCUCCUGGUUCUCAGACCUUCAGACUUAGACUGAAACUUACAUCAUCAGCUCUCCUGGUCUCCAGCUUGCUGACAGCAGACUUUAGGACUUAUUAGACUCCACAGUGAAAGAUCACUCUGACUGCUACAUGGAAAAUGUGUGCUGGGGAGAAACAAGACCACAGGAAAUAAGAGCAGUGAACAAGCUCUUGCUGUAAUUCAAGUCAGGUGUAGAAGCUGGAGCUGGAGCAGCCAUUCUGAACUAUGUCGGUAAGGGCGGUACUCCCAUGGUGGCUUGGAAGUGAGCUGGAAGGCACCAAGGUGCAUGAUGAUAUCAUGGGGUUCCCAUAGAUACCCAGGAUCACGAACAUCAGAUUUCAUUUUCAUGAUACAGAAAUGAAUUCCUGCUUGGUUCAAGAUACAUAUCAUAAAAGGAAAAAAAAAAAAAAAAGUCCUGACGAAGAUGCCAUUUAUUUUCUAGAAAAUCUACCUGGAAAUAAAAAGUUGACUCACCGAUUCACACCAUUUCCAUUUUAAGUAAGACGAUGUCACUGUAUUUAUUAAUAAGCAUUUUUUUACUUGCUUUAUUUCAGAAAAAUAGGGUUUGUUCAUUUUUUUCUCAUAUGCUGACAGAAGAUUAUAUUUACUGUAACUAUAUAUAUCUGAAACCAAAUAGGAAUAUAUUUCUCUCCCAUAUGUAUUAGGUAGCCAAACCUAUGUGUAACAUCCUCCCAAACAGCAAACCAGAGAAUCAGCAAUUGUCUCAAGACCUUUUUUGAGUCAAGUAAAUUUUGGCUAAGGGAUUGUCCUUGCGCUCGUUAAAAGGACAUGCCCAAGAUAAACAUUACUCUCAGAUUUUUGUUAUACAAGUGAAGAACGAGGAGCAGGAAAUUACUUCUCCAAUUAGAAAAUUCACAGGCAGUGGAAAAAGGUUGCAUUAUUCUGUCUCCCAAUAUACUCAGAGAAGCAAGUUAUUUGUGAGGUGAUAAACUUACAUGUUAAUGCGCUGAGGGAAAGGGGAGUAGUGAUGUGCCCCAAGGGCAGUAAAUCCCAGUAUACACAUGAGAAAAGAAAGCAAAAUGCUCUUCACAAAUCUCUCCCCAUCAGCUGAAGAUAGACCCCUCUUAGCCCAAGGCUAGAAAUUGAUCACCUAGCUCCAAUAAUUCAAUUAUGUGCUCUAUAUACCUUAUCCUACCUGUGCCUUUAUCAGCUAAUCUAAAUUGGAUGAAUUUGUAAAUUUGCCAUAUAAGUACUUUGGCUUGGUUUUUUCAUCUCAGGUACUACUCUGUUCAGAUGUAAUCUCUAUUUCUUUAUAGGAAAAUUAUAUAUAAGGAAAAGUCUUAAUAUUUAUUUCAAACUGAACACAUAAUUAAGCGUUCAUUUUAAUUAAGUUAAUUUGAACUUUCAAAAAAACUAUGAAUUUAUUUUAAAACAAAACUUCUGCCUUUAUAGAAUGACAGAAAAAACAAAAGCAUAGUGGCUUUCCCAAAUCACAGCUUAUUUUAAUACACCAAAUUUGAUAAUAAAACAUGGCAGUGUGCCUACACUUAAUACACAUGGCAAUGUAUAUUACACUUGUAAUAUAAGUGAAGAUAUAUUACAAAUGAUGUUUUCUACUUUACUAUGUAUUUUAGAGGGUGAGUACAAAAAUUGAUUUAUGAUUAACAUCAUAAGUUCCGUAUCAAUUACAAUCACAUGUGUAUGGCAUAAGAAUUAACUUUACACCGUUACUGAGAGGAAAAUAAAUUGUUGAUAAAACAGGUAAUCACUCAAAACUCAGGACCUCCAACAGGUAAUUGAUCUGCAGCUUUAUAUUCUUUGUUCUUAUGAGAAUAAUUGUCCAGAAAUGACAAACGUUGCCAACCAUUUUUUUUCUUGACAAUAUAAUUGUGGAAUAGCCAAUUAGACUUAGAGUUUCAGAUCAAUAUUUUGAUAGCUUUUUGAGAUGAAGCAUUCUUUUGAUGGUGGUCAAAAUUAAGGGCUACAUUAAGGAGAAGAUUUUUCAAUAAGUGAUUUAGUGCCUCGUCUAGCGCACACUGUAAUUAAUAAUAUGUCUAUAACACUGCCAGAGAAUUAAGUGGAAUUUACUAACAAAUGCUGCUACGCUUUCACUUCUACUUUGAUAAUUUACUUUACAUUAAUAUAAAUGAGGUAAAAUUAACACCAGCUCACAGUAUAGCAGCCCAUUUAAUUUGGUCGAAUAUUUCUCAACUGCUUUCAAGUGAUACAUUUGGUUUCAAGGGUAAUAAAAUCAGACCAUUUAUCAUUUUUCAUUCAAAAUACAUAAUUUUGUAUAUACAUUUGCAUUUAAAAUUAGUUUUUACUAUUCUUUCAGAUACAAGACAAAAACAUCUUAAGAUAUUUUAAAAUUUAAUUAUUAGUCAAAACUUUUGUCUUGUAC